GCCCUCGGUGGCUCAGGUGGACAGAGCGUCUGCCAUGUAAGCAGGAGAUCCUGGGUUCAAGUCCCGGUCGGGGUA
RNAcentral lists this transfer RNA (75 nucleotides) under Schistocerca americana (American grasshopper). RNAcentral's name for it is "tRNA-Thr". It matches the Rfam family "tRNA". Rfam says of the family: Transfer RNA (tRNA) molecules are approximately 80 nucleotides in length. Lineage: Eukaryota; Metazoa; Arthropoda; Insecta; Orthoptera; Acrididae. The record is from RNAcentral.